This 492-nucleotide ribosomal RNA is filed under the name uncultured bacterium. RNAcentral's name for it is "partial 16S ribosomal RNA". It matches the Rfam family "Bacterial small subunit ribosomal RNA", at positions 29 to 507 of the family's 1533-position model. The record is from RNAcentral.
AGUGAACGCUGGCGGUAGGCCUAACACAUGCAAGUCGAACGGCAGCACAGUAAGAGCUUGCUCUUACGGGUGGCGAGUGGCGGACGGGUGAGGAAUACAUCGGAAUCUACUUUUUCGUAGGGGAUAACGUAGGGAAACUUACGCUAAUACCGCAUACGACCUACGGGUGAAAGCAGGGGAUCUUCGGAUCUUGCGCGAUUGAAUGAGCCGAUGUCGGAUUAGCUAGUUGGCGGGGUAAAGGCCCACCAAGGCGACGAUCCGUAGCUGGUCUGAGAGGAUGAUCAGCCACACUGGAACUGAGACACGGUCCAGACUCCUACGGGAGGCAGCAGUGGGGAAUAUUGGACAAUGGGCGCAAGCCUGAUCCAGCCAUACCGCGUGGGUGAAGAAGGCCUUCGGGUUGUAAAGCCCUUUUGUUGGGAAAGAAAAGCAGCAGGUUAAUACCCCGCUGUUCUGACGGUACCCAAAGAAUAAGCACCGGCUAACUUCGUG